GACGAACGCUGGCGGCGUGCCUAAUACAUGCAAGUAGAACGCUGAAGAGAGGAGCUUGCUCUUCUUGGAUGAGUUGCGAACGGGUGAGUAACGCGUAGGUAACCUGCCUGGUAGCGGGGGAUAACUAUUGGAAACGAUAGCUAAUACCGCAUAAAAUGGAUUAUCGCAUGAUAAUCCAUUGAAAGGUUCAAAUGCAUCACUACCAGAUGGACCUGCGUUGUAUUAGCUAGUUGGUGGGGUAACGUCUAACCAAGGCGACGAUACAUAGCCGACCUGAGAGGGUGAUCGGCCACACUGGGACUGAGACACGGCCCAGACUCCUACGGGAGGCAGCAGUAGGGAAUCUUAGGAAAUGGACGGAAGUAUGACAGAGCAACGCAGCGUGAGUGAAGAAGGUUUUCGGAUCGUAAAGCUCUGUUGUAAGAGAAGAACGAGUGUGAGAGUGGAAAGUUCACACUGUGACGGUAUCUUACCAGAAAGGGACGGCUAACUAAGUG
Molecule: ribosomal RNA, 497 nt
Filed under: uncultured bacterium
Lineage: Bacteria
Description: partial 16S ribosomal RNA
Rfam family: Bacterial small subunit ribosomal RNA
Source: RNAcentral